CAGCAGCCGCGGGAAUACGUAGGUGGCAAGCGUUGUCCGGAAUUAUUGGGCGUAAAGGGCUCGCAGGCGGUUUCUUAAGUCUGAUGUGAAAGCCCCCGGCUCAACCGGGGAGGGUCAUUGGAAACUGGGAAACUUGAGUGCAGAAGAGGAGAGUGGAAUUCCGCGUGUAGCGGUGAAAUGCGUAGAGAUGUGGAGGAACACCAGUGGCGAAGGCGACUCUCUGGUCUGUAACUGACGCUGAGGAGCGAAAGCGUGGGGAGCGAACAGGAUUAGAUACCCCUGUAGUCCCUGUCUCUUAUAC
This 301-nucleotide ribosomal RNA is filed under the name uncultured bacterium. Its description in RNAcentral is "partial 16S ribosomal RNA". It matches the Rfam family "Bacterial small subunit ribosomal RNA", at positions 509 to 807 of the family's 1533-position model. The record is from RNAcentral.